UUCACAAAUAAAAUAUAUUAAAAAUUAGUUGAGAAACACGCUGGGCUAAGAAAUCGAUAUUGAAAGUGUUAUCUAUAAAUUUUGCGCAUAAUAAAUCCAGAAAAGUUUAUUUGAAACAAUCUUGUUUUAUUUAAUCAACGGCCUCUUGACAGUAUUUGCUACAGCCGCACUGGCACUUAAGCGGGGAUCACUUAGCUUUCUAAGUGACAACUUUUAUAACGUAGAAACGAAUUGUCCGUGCAAACGAUCACCAGAGAUCUUUUAAUACAAACAUAUUUUUUAUCUCUUUGUUUUGAGCUGCGGCUAUAUCUUACGCUUUAUUUAAUCGAUUGAAAUGUAUUUCAAAGUAAAAGUAUUGCCAUUUUUGUCAAAAAAUUGUCCUUUGAGUCGUUGUUACCAUUGUAAAUAGUCUACAUAUAUAUGUAAAACAAAAUUCGGCAGCACUCAGCAAGCGGCGAUAGAAUUUUCAAUGAAGUAUUCGCAUACUCUACACGAAUUCAACUAGUUAAAUUUGUUGUUGUUUUUACAUGUAAAAUUUUUGAUAAGCAAGCAGCGAACAUUUGAUACUUUCGCAAUUUAUUCGUUUGGAGGAUGGCCAGGAACGAUUCUUUUACAUGUGGCUUGAGCGCUCAAGCAGCUCACGACUUUCGGUCUUAGACCAAGUAUCCUCUGGGUAGCCAACUUAGGUACAUUUGAAGGCGAGCUGAGAAUGAUCCACCCCAUAAAAAUCUGAACAAUGGAAAGGAAAUCACAGCCUCGAAUGAGAAACCCAAUUUUAAUGACAACCACCUCAAACGUUUUGAGGACUACGAUUUAAAAGCAUACUCCUGAAAGAUCCGGUUGUUUAAUUCUGAAGGUGCCUCUGACCACCUAGUUGAUGUCCACGUAAGAAUAAAGGUUGACAUCACCGCCGUUCUAGAAAGGCUAUGGCCGGGCCAUGGAUUUCGACGAGUAGGUCUUGUGACAUUUACUACAGCGGCCAAAUAAAGGAGAGCAAAUUCAGUGUGAGACUCGUGAUGGGAGUGCGACUCAGUCGUCGAUCCCUGCCAUUUAUUCCUGUAGUUGAACGACCAGCCGCAAUCCCAAAAUGUGGUUUUCGCCCCGACGGUAGAGAAGGACGACAUGACCAAAGAAAGAGACUGCUCCGCGCCUAGAAGUAUGAACUGGACCGUCACUCUGUACCAGGUGAGGGGAUGAUAUAUCGAGCACAUAUAACAUGACGGUAUUUCUACCAAGAUGCGCCGGCAAAACAUCGGAGUAUGUCUUUGGUCUGCUGAAAGCGCGGAAUGAGGGCUUAAGCACCUCAACUUGGAGGAUCAUCAGCAGCAGCGAUGAGGAAGCGGGGCUAGGACUGAACAUUGGUAUCGAUGAAGCCCUAUGUCAUAAUCCGCCAAAAAGAUUACCGGCUGUUCUGCAGGUACAGCACAAUUGUGAUACGACCCUGAAAAAAAGUGUACGAAAUUAAAGGAUGACAAAACCAAAACGAUUGCCGAGGUUAGUACUCCGCCCGUUCCCUCAUCUAGCUUUGGGUGCGCUGCACCAGUCAAUACUGAGGAGCAGUCUGAUGGGAGUGAUCAAACCGCACUGCCAACUACCCAAAAACUGUUGGAAGGACUUGUUUUGGAGGCCAUGUAGGUUAACAAGACCUAUGAGGUGAAGGAGGGUAUGGAGGUUGACAAGACCAGCGAGGAGAAGGAACCACAUCUAGAGGAGCCGGUUCUAUGAUCCCACCCCUAAUGUCGAUAGCUCAAGUUAUCCUACACAGAGCUAAGACAGGUUCAUGUCGGAUAGCUAUGGUGCCCUCCUAAUACAGGAACCAUGGGCUUUUAAAGAAGAGGUAAAAAGCCUCACUGAAAACAACAGGAAGAUAAUUUGAAAUCUCCAAAGAUAUUGACUUUUUUUGUCUUUCAGAGUUCCUAACAAGAGACCUUGUAGCAGUGCAGGCUAGCUGUGGUCUUUUCUUCAGCUUACUUUCCGGGUGAUUCGUAAGUGGCACCAGCAGCUGAAGUGCAGAAGCUGGUUGAAUACUGCAGCUCGACAAAUCUUGCCUUGGUACUAGGCUGCGAUGCGAACGCACACCAUUGUGAGUGGGGGAAAAGUGACUGCAACAUGAGGGGUGACUCUUUAUUAUAAUUUAUAGUCGAGAGUAAUCUAGAAAUAAGCAAUGUGGGUUGUAAGCCAACAUUCGUCACUACCCAGCAAGACCAUGGGUACUGAAACUCCAACACAUUCAAAGAAAUUUUAAUAACACCUCUACAUACACACAUAUGCAAAAAAGAGCAAAAUGAGCAUAAACAUUUACCUCAACUCUUCUCUCGUACAGCACCCUGAAUGAUAGAUAGAAACAACCAAAGUUCUCAUGUUUGAACAAGUUUGGUUUUUAAUUAUAUCAUGGCUGCUUGUCAAGUAUUAUUUUGCGUGUUUUAUUUAAAUCAGUGAUUUGCAGCCGAAGUUUAAAUUAUUGAACCACACAUUUCUAAAUAAGUAAAACGUAAAAUAUGAGUUUUCUAAAGCUAAAAUAUGGAAUUGAAGAGGGUGAUACAGUAAUACUUCAUAUCACUGUAAAUGCGAUGUACGCAAUAGAAGCUACUCCAACAAUAGUCAACAAAAAGGGCGAAAAUACGAAAUACGAAAAUAAUUGUUGAAUAGAAGAAUAUAAUCUUGACUUAAGUUGCAAUUAAUUUCUCAUACAGAUAUUUCAAAACACAUACGGCGCGUUAAAGGUACGCAACCUAAUUGGUGUCACUUAUGGUAGCAGCGAAGAACUCUCGAAGGGAUGGGAGUAUGUGCAGCAAGAAAAUUCAGAAUUAUGGACGCAAACGCUGCUACAUCGAACACUAAUCAUUUACACACCAGAUAUUAGGUUGAAUGUCACAUUUUUUACGAGCGAUUAAACCACUUGGCCAACACAAGCACGUGAACAAUUGAAACAUUGUUUAGGUGCUUUUGUAACCGUUUAUCAUCGACGUGUGUCAACGGGGUUUUGCCAAUGAGCUAGUUGGACUUACCGGCACCUCAUUGGCCGUUCCAUUAGCAGCUAAAACAUAGAAAUCACAGGGAAAUUUAUGUGAAUGUUUGUGAUCAUAAAAAUUUAAAAACACCUUGUAUAUUUAAUUAGGGGGACUUUUUUGAUUCACUUUCACCUUAUUUCGUAUAUUGAAGAAAGUAACAAAUGACAAAAUUUCAUAGUUGGCUUUAUCUUGGCUUUGGAGAUCCUUUCCAAACCAUUUCCAACUGCUUCUACAAUUGCAAUUUGAUAUUGUUGCAAAAUCAGUGGUAUGUUAGUUGUUUAUUGGCGAUUCUUUAUGUGUCGCAAGAUGAUUUUAGGUAUGCGAUUAUCCAGAAAUAAUUGGAAGAGUCUGGCGUAAAUCACCUGCCAACAGAAUCAUGGCUCCACCAAAAAAGUUUUGGUUUUCGCGUAAAUCUUCUUGAAUAUCUGGAAAAUCUUCGCUAUAGCGUUACUUUUGGCGAUUUUGAAGACUGAAUUUGCAAUUUAGGAGUAAUUUCAAGGCCGAAUGUGCCGUUGGUUUGCCUACUAACAGAAUUUCAAGAAUUACAUCAGCCCUCAUAUGAUGAUCUUAUAUUGGACUUUAUGCCGAAUAUAUAGGUCAAAUUGUGUGCUUUCUUUAAAAAAAUUAAUGUUCGGUUGCACCCGAACUUAGCCUUUCCUUAUUUGUUACAAAUUGCUUAGGGCCAUCUUAUACAAUUAAACACUGACAAAAAUAUUUGAACAAAGCAAAAAUCACAACCUUCAAAACAUUAUUAUUUUUUGUUUUCUUUUUUCAUAUUUUUGUUGUCAACUCGAAUAAAAUUCUCAUAUUAUUAUCAUCUAUUAUAAUUUUAAAAUUACCCUACAAGACGGAGCUAACUCAUACACCACUACACAUGCAAAGUUUUUCAGCUUUUACCAACAUAUACACAAUAGUAACUUUUUCUCGGUAGUUAGAGUGGCAACAUUCAUUAACCCUAAUUUUUGUAUGUAUAAGAGAGAGAUGCACGUACUAUAAUGAACCGAUCAAAAUCUCCGCCAUGGCCGCCAUUCAUAUGAAAAGAAAAUUUGAAGUGAGUGGAUGUAAGUGCGUAUUAAUAAUUUGUUACUGAUAUUAUUUUAUUUUUAUAGUAAAUUUUCUGUUCAUAGAGCGGUACUAUAUUUGACUGGAUGCUGCAGCUUAUUUUAAAGGAAUAUAACUGAAGAAAAUGGUCUCGGAAGCCAAAGCGAGCUGCAACACACAUCUGAUAUUUGCAAACUUCGGAAGAAAAACUAAAGCUUAAGCUGGAUACCACCGAUAUACUCCCAUAUAGGAAGGUAGCUAUACUUGGUAUGGGUGCGGGGAAUCCUACCAGCAGUUCUUCGAGGCAUACAACGGCAACCGCUCAUGAAUCGUACAAUACCAAUUCGAAUUAGAAUUCGACGUAUGAUGGAAGCAGCAUUCAUAGUCCUUUGUGUUAGAAAGUAAUAAAAAGCAUGCACCCAGAAAUACAACACAAAAUAUGCUACAAAACAGAGUUGGUAUCAAUAUUGCCAUGCUUAUAAUAUUGGUGGAUAAUCGCCACAUGGUGUAACAAGUGUAGCAGCAACAACAAAUAAUACAUAUUAAAAUUCACAACAAAAGUCUAAAUCGCACAACGCAACCGGCAAAUAACAAGGCAUCGGAUGAUGUACAACAAAGUACAUCGGACAUUUGGAGUAGUAGUUUCACUACUUAUUUUCGACGUGCUAAACACAGAGUCUCCUAUAUUGCCCUUGGAUCUACACAAUGGAUAGUUAACAUAAUAACAGAGCUCAAAAAAACAAAAAACGCAGAUGUUGUUUAUCCUGCUUCUGUUUUGACUAUGCUAAACUAAUAAUCAAUAUUAUGAUUGUUAAUUUAUAAAUUUUGAACGUUCGUAAUAGCACUAAAUUUAUUAAUCUAUAUGUGAAAUAUUGUUAAAUUAGCAUCUAUAUACAAAUGAAUGUACGAAUAUUUGUAACAAUCGUAAUAGUAGUGAAAUUUAACUUGUAUUGUAU
Zeugodacus cucurbitae (melon fly) is the source of this 5008-nucleotide long non-coding RNA. RefSeq lists it as uncharacterized. The record is from RefSeq and is a predicted model, not a curated record. NCBI's taxonomy places the organism in Eukaryota, Metazoa, Arthropoda, Insecta, Diptera, Tephritidae. The transcript is spliced from 4 exons.